UGCCGGGAAACCACUCCCUCCCUCGUGCUCUGCUCCUCGCUGACUGCGUUGUGAGUCACUACGGUCAGACCUGGAAUCUCUUAUCCUGGACCUGGAGGAGCCUCGGAGUCAUUUGGGUUGGAAAGCAGCUCUCUUUAACCAGCAGAUCUGAUGGCAGCCAGGCCAUGCCGAAGAGCAUGCCAAAGAGUGUCAACCAGGAACGUGUCUUCUUUCUGAAAUACGUCGUGGAUCAGCAGGCAGGCCCCUCAAGACCCCAGCGACGCAGCUUACACGGAGCCGAGCACACAGUAACCCAGAAACAUAUGUGGUUUCCAUGGCACUACUCUAUGUUGGUUCUCCACAACAUGCUUUUGUCUGCUCAGCAUCUCUUCUCCUCACCUUGGGAACUGCCCCACCUCCCUGAAUAGAGUGGACAUAUGACCCAGAUCCAGGUUGCUGUCACAACUGAGCUGUAACACACUUUGCUGCAACAAGAUAUGGGAAGGAUUGGCUUCAGGGUCUAUCUCAUCAUGUGGAAACAUACACGCCCUACCUCCCUCAUCCUUCAGGAUUCGCAACAGACAUCGCCCCUGAGCCUUCUCAGGCGCCCGCCUCCCCAAGCUGAGCUGAGUACACGUUUUUUUUCCUUAUCUAGUUUUUCAUCAUUUGUUUAUCAUGUUUUUUAACAUUUAUUUAUUUAUUUAACAUUGUCUUUUGGGGGAAGGUAAUUAGGUUUCUUUUAAUUUUAUUUUUUUAACGGAGGUAUUAGGGAUUGAACCCAGGACUUCAUGCAUGCUAAGCCUGCGCUCUACCACUGAGCUAUACCCUCCCCACCUUGAGUGCGUCUUCUUUGCUCUCUCCCAGCUCUCAUGCUGAAGUUAACUUGAGUUUACCCAUUUGCAUGCCUGUCCACUCACUACAAUGCAAGCUCCCAGGAGCAGAGCCCAUGUUUCAUUCAUCCCUGUGUCUUUGGCUCCUGCGCAAAGUACUUGGUGAACUGAACUAGAAGGUGUUUUACAUUCGCAUUACCUAUCAGUGAAAGUUUGCAACAGGCCUGGAGAUAAAUAUCAUUAUUACCACUUUAUGAACUAGGAAACUGAAUCUCAGAGAAUUUGCCCAAAGCCAUACAGCUGAUGAGGAGAAGACUAAACAUAAAUCCAGGUCUGCUGACCUUGAAGUUUUGGAAACUAGGACCACAAAACCUUGUGUUUUUAACUGAAUUAAGCUUUUGUAUUAGUUAGAAAACACAUAAUAGUACAAAAGUU
Long non-coding RNA from Camelus dromedarius (Arabian camel), 1244 nucleotides. RefSeq lists it as uncharacterized. The transcript has 5 exons. The record is from RefSeq and is a predicted model, not a curated record. NCBI's taxonomy places the organism in Eukaryota, Metazoa, Chordata, Mammalia, Artiodactyla, Camelidae.